GGGUCUAUGAUGAAAAACCAAUGUCACACAGAGAGGUGAUGACAUAAAAAUCAUUCUAAAGGAUAGGGAAGAAAUAGGGGCCU
Mesocricetus auratus (golden hamster) is the source of this 83-nucleotide non-coding RNA. NCBI's taxonomy places the organism in Eukaryota, Metazoa, Chordata, Mammalia, Rodentia, Cricetidae. The record is from Rfam.